AAUGGAAGGUGACCGAGCUUGUUUUUUAAACAGGUUAGGAAAGUCCAUGCUAGCACAUUCUGAGACGAAUGUAGUGUUUGUGCCUAAGGAAACAAUAACUUAGGGUACGAUUCAUCGUAACGGCGUCCAAGGAUCUAAAGGGCAACCCAUGAUCGGCGGACCUAAGGUGCCACAGAGACGAGCUGCCGGGAAACCGGUGGAUGAAACGCGGUAAACCCCUCAAGCUAGCAACCCAAAUUUUGGUAGGGGCACGUGUGAAGGCGAAUUGAAGCCGACACAUGCUACAUGAUGUAGAGAUAAAUGGUCACACCCGUCAGGGAACAGAACAUGGCUUAUGCUC
RNAcentral lists this RNase P RNA (340 nucleotides) under Acholeplasmataceae bacterium. RNAcentral's name for it is "RNase P RNA component class B". It matches the Rfam family "Bacterial RNase P class B". From Rfam's summary of the family: Ribonuclease P (RNase P) is a ubiquitous endoribonuclease, found in archaea, bacteria and eukarya as well as chloroplasts and mitochondria. Its best characterised activity is the generation of mature 5'-ends of tRNAs by cleaving the 5'-leader elements of precursor-tRNAs. Lineage: Bacteria; Bacillati; Mycoplasmatota; Mollicutes; Acholeplasmatales; Acholeplasmataceae. The record is from RNAcentral.